RNAcentral lists this non-coding RNA (24 nucleotides) under Arabidopsis thaliana (thale cress). The record is from RNAcentral. Lineage: Eukaryota; Viridiplantae; Streptophyta; Magnoliopsida; Brassicales; Brassicaceae.
CAUGCACAAUCUUGGAUAAUAUGC